Molecule: transfer RNA, 72 nt
Organism: Zymomonas mobilis subsp. mobilis
Lineage: Bacteria; Pseudomonadati; Pseudomonadota; Alphaproteobacteria; Sphingomonadales; Zymomonadaceae
Rfam family: tRNA
About the family: Transfer RNA (tRNA) molecules are approximately 80 nucleotides in length. Their secondary structure includes four short double-helical elements and three loops (D, anti-codon, and T loops). Further hydrogen bonds mediate the characteristic L-shaped molecular structure. tRNAs have two regions of fundamental functional importance: the anti-codon, which is responsible for specific mRNA codon recognition, and the 3' end, to which the tRNAs corresponding amino acid is attached (by aminoacyl-tRNA synthetases). tRNAs cope with the degeneracy of the genetic code in two manners: having more than one tRNA (with a specific anti-codon) for a particular amino acid; and 'wobble' base-pairing, i.e. permitting non-standard base-pairing at the 3rd anti-codon position.
Source: Rfam
GCGGGCAUAGCUCAGGGGUAGAGCACAACCUUGCCAAGGUUGGGGUCGAGGGUUCGAAUCCCUUUGCCCGCU